RNAcentral lists this ribosomal RNA (484 nucleotides) under uncultured bacterium. RNAcentral describes it as "partial 16S ribosomal RNA". It matches the Rfam family "Bacterial small subunit ribosomal RNA", at positions 30 to 507 of the family's 1533-position model. The record is from RNAcentral.
AUUGAACGCUGGCGGCAGGCCUAACACAUGCAAGUCGAGCGGAUGAAGGGAGCUUGCUCCUGGAUUCAGCGGCGGACGGGUGAGUAAUGCCUAGGAAUCUGCCUGGUAGUGGGGGAUAACGUCCGGAAACGGGCGCUAAUACCGCAUACGUCCUGAGGGAGAAAGUGGGGGAUCUUCGGACCUCACGCUAUCAGAUGAGCCUAGGUCGGAUUAGCUAGUUGGUGGGGUAAAGGCCUACCAAGGCGACGAUCCGUAACUGGUCUGAGAGGAUGAUCAGUCACUCUGGAACUGAGACACGGCCCAGGCUCCGACGGGCGGCAGCAGUGGGGAAUGUUGGACGAUGGGCGAAAGCCUGAUCCAGCCAUGCCGCGUGUGUGAAGAAGGUCUUCGGAUUGUAAAGCACUUUUAGUGGGGAGGAAGGGCAGUAAGUUAAUACCUUGCUGUUUUGACGUUACCAACAGAAUAAGCACCGGCUAACUUCGUG